RNAcentral lists this ribosomal RNA (477 nucleotides) under uncultured Planctomycetales bacterium. Its description in RNAcentral is "bacterial SSU rRNA". It matches the Rfam family "Bacterial small subunit ribosomal RNA", at positions 365 to 832 of the family's 1533-position model. Lineage: Bacteria; Pseudomonadati; Planctomycetota; Planctomycetia; Planctomycetales. The record is from RNAcentral.
UUCGCAAUGCCCGAAAGGGUGACGAAGCGACGCCGCGUGUGGGAAGAAGGCCUUCGGGUUGUAAACCACUGUCGGGAGUUAAGAAAUGCAAGGAUAUUAAUAGUGUCUUUGUUUGACUAAGGCUCCGGAGGAAGCCACGGCUAACUCUGUGCCAGCAGCCGCGGUAAUACAGAGGCGGCAAGCGUUGUUCGGAAUUAUUGGGCGUAAAGAGCACGUAGGCGGCUAUGUAAGUCGGUUGUGAAAGCCUUCCGCUCAACGGAAGAACAGCAUCCGAUACUACAUGGCUUGAGUGCGGGAGGGGAGAGUGGAACUUCUGGUGGAGCGGUGAAAUGUGUAGAUAUCAGAAGGAACGCCGGCGGCGAAAGCGGCUCUCUGGCCCAUAACUGACGCUGAGUGUGCGAAAGCUAGGGGAGCAAACGGGAUUAGAUACCCCGGUAGUCCUAGCCGUAAACGAUGGGCACUAAGUAGAGGGGUUUU